AGAGAUCAUGGCUCAGGAUGAACGCUAGCGGCAGGCUUAAUACAUGCAAGUCGAGGGGCAGCAUGGUUGUAGCAAUACAACUGAUGGCGACCGGCAAACGGGUGCGGAGCACGUACGCAAUCUACCCAAAACUGGUGAAUAGCCCUCCGAAAGGAGGAUUAAUACACCGUAACCUAUUGAAGUGGCAUCACUUUAUUAGUAUAGCUCCGGCGGUUUUGGAUGAGCGUGCGGCUGAUUAGGUAGUUGGCGGGGUAACGGCCCACCAAGCCUGCGAUCAGUAACUGGUGUGAGAGCACGACCAGUCACACGGGCACUGAGACACGGGCCCGACUCCUACGGGAGGCAGCAGUAAGGAAUAUUGGUCAAUGGACGCAAGUCUGAACCAGCCAUGCCGCGUGAAGGAUGAAGGUCCUCUGGAUUGUAAACUUCUUUUAUAGGGGACGAAACCUCUUUUUCUAAAGAGACUGACGGUACCCUAGGAAUAAGCACCGGCUAACUCCGUGCCAGCAGCCGCGGUAAUACGGAGGGUGCAAGCGUUAUCCGGAUUCACUGGGUUUAAAGGGUGCGUAGGAGGGCAGGUAAGUCAGUGGUGAAAUCUCCGAGCUUAACUUGGAAACUGCCAUUGAUACUAUCUGUCUUGAAUAUUGUGGAGGUGAGCGGAAUAUGUCAUGUAGCGGUGAAAUGCUUAGAUAUGACAUAGAACACCAAUUGCGAAGGCAGCUCGCUACACAUAUAUUGACUCUGAGGCACGAAAGCGUGGGGAUCAAACAGGAUUAGAUACCCUGGUAGUCCACGCCCUAAACUAUGGAUACUCGACAUACGCGAUACACUGUGUGUGUCUGAGCGAAAGCAUUAAGUAUCCACCUGGGAAGUACGACCGCAAGGUUGAAACUCAAGGAAUUGGC
RNAcentral lists this ribosomal RNA (905 nucleotides) under uncultured Sphingobacteriia bacterium. Its description in RNAcentral is "bacterial SSU rRNA". It matches the Rfam family "Bacterial small subunit ribosomal RNA", at positions 8 to 914 of the family's 1533-position model. Lineage: Bacteria; Pseudomonadati; Bacteroidota; Sphingobacteriia. The record is from RNAcentral.